This is a non-coding RNA of Taeniopygia guttata (zebra finch), 498 nucleotides long. NCBI's taxonomy places the organism in Eukaryota, Metazoa, Chordata, Aves, Passeriformes, Estrildidae. The record is from RefSeq and is a predicted model, not a curated record.
UGGAGCGGCUGUAGUUCCAAAAGGUCGGGCUGCUGGAGGGAGAGCUGGAAUCUGAGCUUCCUGCAAAGAUCCAUUCAUUAAGAAGUUAACUUCAAUUAUUGCCAAGUAAUUCUGGAUAAACAGCAUGGGGACAAGAGGCCCCACACUCAUGGAAUAGGGAGAUCCGUUGGGAGAGUGGCUGAAGCUGGAAACCUUGGGAGCAAACAAACCAGAAAAACCCUGAAUUUCCUUUCAUUGACAAGGUUAAAGCUGUGCCACGGGGCCGUGUGCUGGGGGUUACCUUGGCGUAGCUGCUGCUGGGUGAGUAAGUGGCAGAGGGGCUGUGAGAGGGGCUGGUCCCUGGCAGAGCCUGGAGCUGGGGGCUGUAGCCACCGAGGCAGCUGGCAGAGAACUUGGGGCUGGCGCUGGGCGAGCGGGACGGGCUGUAGCUCAGCACACACUGGCCCUGGAUGGGCGGGGACGGCGUCAGGGACAGCACCCGCUUGGCUGCUGCCUCCC